RNAcentral lists this long non-coding RNA (1129 nucleotides) under Gallus gallus (chicken). RNAcentral's name for it is "lncRNA (ENSGALG00010009773.1)". Lineage: Eukaryota; Metazoa; Chordata; Aves; Galliformes; Phasianidae. The record is from RNAcentral.
GUCUGAUUGGACGAGAUCCCAAACUGGGCGGGGUCUGAGCUGGGGGGGCGGGGCCGAAUUAGAUAAUACCGCAAAUCGGGCGUGGCUGGACAGAUGGGCGGGGCUUAAAAGAGCGGUGUCUGAUUGGACGUUGCUGCAAACUGGGCGUGGCCCGACGGGGGGGGGGGGCUUAACGGGGCGGGGCCUGAUUGGACGUUAGCGCAAACUGGGCGUGGCUGGACUAAUGGGCUGGUCCCGAUCGGGGGAGGGGCCUGAUUGGACACUGCCGCAAAGUGGGCGGGGCCAAAACGGAGGGGCGGGGCGGGGCAUAAUCGGGGCGGGGCGCGAUUGGGCGUUAAUCAAAGUGGGCGGGGCCAAAGCGCGCGGGGGGGCGGGGCCGGAUUGGACAUUGCGGCAAAGUGGGGCGGGGCCUGUCAUGGGCGUGGCUUGAGAGGGCGUGGCCUGAUUGGAUGUUGCCUGAAGGGGGCGGGGCCUGAAGGGGUCCUGCACACCACCAUUACAGCCCAGUGCCACCAGUACCGCCAGUAUCACCAGUGCCACCAGUAUGACCAGUACAACCCAGUACAGCCCAGUGCCACCAGUGCCACCAGUAUCACCAGUACAACCCAUACCACCAGUGCUCCCAGUAUCACCAGUACCACCAGUGCUCCCAGUGCCACCAGUGCUCCCAGUAUCACCAGUAUCACCACCAGUAUCCCCAUUGCCACCAGUGCCACCAGUACAGCCCAGUACAACCCAGUGCCACCAUACAACCCAGUGCUCCCAGUAUCACCAGUGCCACCAGUAUGACCAGUACAACCCAGUACAGCCCAGUGCCACCAGUAUCACCAGUGCUCCCAGUAUCACCAGUACCACCACCAGUAUGACCAGUACAACCCAGUACGGCCCAGUACCACCAGUAUGACCAGUGCUCCCAGUACCACCAGUGCUCCCAGUAUCACCAGUACCUCCAGGAUGACCAGUACAACCCAGUACAACCCAGUGCCACCAGUACCACCAGUAUCACCAGUAUGACCAGUAUCACCAGUGCUCCCAGUGUCUCCAGAGCUCCCAGUACCACCAGUAUCACCAGUAUGACCAGUACAACCCAGUGCCUCCAGUGCUCCCAGUACAACCAGUACCACCAGUG